Coccinella septempunctata (seven-spotted ladybird) is the source of this 327-nucleotide long non-coding RNA. RefSeq lists it as uncharacterized. The transcript has 2 exons. Lineage: Eukaryota; Metazoa; Arthropoda; Insecta; Coleoptera; Coccinellidae. The record is from RefSeq and is a predicted model, not a curated record.
UUAUAUUGAUUCCCCCGGGGGACGCCACUGUAUCGUCGAGAAAAUUGAACACUUGAGUUAACCUUGGCUGGAAGAAGAAGAUUUUGUCAGCACGAACGUCAGUUUGUUUGUGUUUUGUUUUGUUUGUCCUUUCUUGUGUUUUGGGGUCCCAUAUUAUUAUGCCUUUUGACCGUAUAUAUUUUAUUUUUAUUUUUGUUUUGUGACUUUUCUGAUUGAUGUUUAUCAUAUGACAAUGGAACCUUUAAAUCAAUCCUUGGUUUGAUAAUGGCGCAAGCCGAAACAUGUAACCGGAUGAUUUGAAUACAAGGUUCCACCACUGAAGUGCUU